Molecule: non-coding RNA, 71 nt
Organism: Phrynosoma platyrhinos (Desert horned lizard)
Lineage: Eukaryota; Metazoa; Chordata; Lepidosauria; Squamata; Phrynosomatidae
Source: the annotation of a GenBank genome assembly
GCCAGUGCAGUGCUGUGGUUUGGAUGCUGGAGUACAACUCUGGAGACCAGGGUUCAAUUCCCUGCUAGGCC